RNAcentral lists this ribosomal RNA (55 nucleotides) under uncultured organism. RNAcentral describes it as "partial 16S ribosomal RNA". The record is from RNAcentral.
UGGGCUUGACAUGUCGGUUAAGGCGUGGAGACACGCUGACCUUCGGGUCCGACAC